This is a long non-coding RNA of Dalotia coriaria, 170 nucleotides long. RefSeq lists it as uncharacterized. The transcript is spliced from 4 exons. NCBI's taxonomy places the organism in Eukaryota, Metazoa, Arthropoda, Insecta, Coleoptera, Staphylinidae. The record is from RefSeq and is a predicted model, not a curated record.
AACGUUUUUUCACCAAAUUGUGUCUAGCGGCCGAACCAGGCACCGUAGGACAACGUUUAUUUCAACAAAUUGUAGGUGUCUAGCGGCCGAACCUGAUAACGUAGGACAACCGUUUUUUCACCAAAUUGUAGGUGUCUAGCGGCCGAACCAGGCACCGUAGGACAACGUUU